RNAcentral lists this ribosomal RNA (254 nucleotides) under uncultured bacterium. Its description in RNAcentral is "partial 16S ribosomal RNA". It matches the Rfam family "Bacterial small subunit ribosomal RNA", at positions 524 to 776 of the family's 1533-position model. The record is from RNAcentral.
UACGAAGGGGGCUAGCGUUGUUCGGAAUUACUGGGCGUAAAGCGAACGUAGGCGGUGUUCCAUGUCAGAGGUGAAAGCCUGGGGCUCAACUCCAGAAUUGCCUUUGAAGCGGGGACGCUUGAGUCCGAGAGAGGGUGGCGGAAUUCCUAGUGGUAGAGGUGAAAUUCGUAGAUAUUAGGAAGAACACCAGUGGCGAAGGCGGCCACCUGGCUCGGUACUGACGCUCAGGUUCGAAAGCGUGGGGAGCAAACAGG